UACGGAGGGUGCAAGCGUUAUCCGGAUUCACUGGGUUUAAAGGGCGCGUAGGUGGGCAGGUAAGUCAGUGGUGAAAUCUCUGGGCUUAACUCAGAAACUGCCAUUGAUACUAUCUGUCUUGAAUACCGUGGAGGUCAGCGGAAUAUGUCAUGUAGCGGUGAAAUGCUUAGAUAUGACAUAGAACACCAAUUGCGAAGGCAGCUGGCUACACGAAUAUUGACACUGAUGCACGAAAGCGUGGGGAUCAAACAGG
This 253-nucleotide ribosomal RNA is filed under the name uncultured bacterium. RNAcentral's name for it is "partial 16S ribosomal RNA". It matches the Rfam family "Bacterial small subunit ribosomal RNA", at positions 524 to 776 of the family's 1533-position model. The record is from RNAcentral.